This 942-nucleotide ribosomal RNA is filed under the name Triticum aestivum (bread wheat). RNAcentral's name for it is "partial small subunit ribosomal RNA". The record is from RNAcentral. Lineage: Eukaryota; Viridiplantae; Streptophyta; Magnoliopsida; Poales; Poaceae.
AUGACUGAGCGACAGGACAUCUAUGAGGAUAGUGGAAAGUUUGUUCAAAAGUUGGACAGCUCCUUUGUUCAACAUGUCAUCACAGUUUGUGAGUUUUCUUUAUCCCAGAUCAAGCAAUUUCCAUGGAUCAUUGCUUGGUUGCCAUGUGCCUUCCCUGAUUGUUCAAGAAUGAUUGCUGAUAAGUUUUGCAAUGUAACGAUUGUGCUGGUGUUCAGAUUGGGAAUUUCUGUUCAAUCCCUGUCCUGUUUUGCUGCUGCUAGGUAUGCUCCAAACAAGUUCAGGGGAAAAUCGCUUGGUCACUCUGCUAUGAUUUUUCUGUCCUCGACAACAUCUCAGUGUGCUUCUUAUGGAUGGCAAAGUCACAAAUGGAUUGCUAUGCUACUGGAGUAUGGUGAAUUACAAACGACCUUACUAGUUGAUGGUAUUCCUGUUUGGACAUUCUGUUUUGCUGCAACCAAUGAGCGAGGAAUCAUCGUUGCAAUCAGAAAACUACAAAUUCCUUGGGAUCCAGGUGACAGUCUUACUUUUGAUAUGAUCCAUCUGGCAGCAUACGUACAUCUUCUCCAAAUGUUGUUGAUGUUGCCAUGGGAUCCUGGUGGCUGUGCAAUUACCCCGGGAGAAGUGCAGGUUAAAUCUCUGUCCAUGCAACAUAUUAACAUUGAAGGAAGAACAUUGAGCAAGAGGACCAUAGUACAUGCUCUAUACUUGUGCCUUCCUUUGGGACCCCGGCGGUUUGGAAUGGUUCGGCUUGGGGGCAAGCCGAAAUUUAUGGUGGGCGGAUUGUCAGCAACCUACACUACUUCGACACUUGGGCCGGAUAAUGGGGUGCUGCUAUUGGACUUGGGCCGCUCAGAAGCCUUGGGGAGAUAUGCACUACAAAUACAAGGGAGAUGGCAUGGGUCAAUUUGGCUUGGACGGAACGGCCGCUUCGGCGGAGGCUAG